Molecule: long non-coding RNA, 1886 nt
Filed under: Mus musculus (house mouse)
Lineage: Eukaryota; Metazoa; Chordata; Mammalia; Rodentia; Muridae
Description: long non-coding RNA chr4:150508633-150510519
Source: RNAcentral
UUUCAUAAUACUGUCGGCUUUGAGCCUCUCACUGCUCCUUCAGUGGAGUCUUAGAUUCACGUUUACUCUUGCCUUUCUGCUGCCCAAGGAAAGAGGCUCACAAGGUGUACCAGUGUACCUGCUCCAGAAGAUGCCUCUGCAAUAACUCUUUCCAGCAGCCUACCUUGAUGGUGACUUCUCCAUCCCUGUCUUACAGGCCAAACUUCCAGAUCUGCAACCAUUUCCUUCUCCAGAUGGUGAUACUGUGACUCAGCAUGAGGAACUUGUCUGGAUGCCUGGAGUCAGUGACUGUGACCUCCUCAUGUACUUGAGGGCAGCAAGGUAAUGGGAAAUUAGCCCCAAUGUUUCUGAAUUAGGACACCCCGACUGAUGGGCGUCUGUAAAAUCUUUCCCUCCAUAUAGGUAGUGGGCCUUUUCUCUCUGAGCAGUGCUCUCUGCACUAGUGAGCCUUCCUACCUCACACAAAUAGCUUUCCUCUUUUUGCAUUUGCUACACAUAAGACUUAGCAAUCCUCAGGAGGAGCCUCUUGAGCCAUACAUUUGAGACUAUUAGCACCCUCACUGCAGUUCAGAGCUGUUUACCUCACUUGACAGUUCCUUUGCUGAGUUUCUGUUCUCCUCAUUAGUGUUUGACCCCAGCUUGACAUUUGUGUGACUUCCCUACACAAGAACAUUUAUCUGUGAGUAUCCAAUAGAACUUGCAUACAUGCAAAUGACAGAGAGGAAGAAGAGAAACGUGAGUCCCUUUAUGCCGUAGCAGGCAGCACUUACCUUUGUGGUGAUGUGGGGGUACUCCCUGCAGCCUCACCAGUGUGCAGUAGCAAAAACUGAAGUGCAUAGCUUGGGGCUGCUGAUCCAUCUUGGCUGUGUGCAGUUCACAGUGCUGCACAGUGGUGCAGAGAGGAGGCAGUGUAAAUGAAGUAGGUGGCUGCCUGUUCUUGUCUCUUCACUGUUAGUUCAUUGAAAGGCAGUUGGUAUGUAGAUGAGAAUUAAUUUCACCUAUUUUCUAGGGACUUCAAAGUUUUAAAUUAAUACCGAGUAAUAGUACAUAUGGGUACUUUAAAAAUAUCACAAUCAGUAGAGUACUGUGAGAAACAGGUUUUUCAUGUGCUUAGGUUUGAAACAUAAGUAUGCACAAGAGAAAGAACAUGGACCCGACGCGAGUUACACUUUUGUCCCAGGCUGAAGACUGGCCUAAUGUACAUGCAUUAAUAGAAUCUUCCAGAAAAUGUACAUGCAAAGUAAGGAUUAAAAAUCAUCGUGUAGUCGGAUAUUGAUCAAGGAAACUCCAUUCUUUUCCCCAAAGGAGCAUGGCAGCAUUUGCAGGGAUGUGUGAUGGAGGCUCCACAGAGGAUGGCUGUGUUGCAGCAUCUCGGGAUGACACCACUCUCAAUGCACUGAACACAGUAAGUCUCCGGAUGUCAUUUUAGAGAGCACAAGAGAAACAUGCAGCAAGGUGUGGCAAAGCUAUAGGGUACUGUGGUGUUGCUAGGAAACAGAAAUGAUGCUGGUUCUGCAGUUCAGAGUGCUUGUUGUACUCACACAUGAGCUGACUUUGAAAAUCCCUCCUGCACCUUCCUCCCCCAUGACAUACCCUCAUAUACAUAACUUACAUAAAUAGACUUAAUUCAAGAUGAACAGAAGCAUUGUGGAGGCUGGUGAGGUGGCUCAGCACUUAGGAGCACUUGCAGAGAAGCUGUGCUUAGUUCCCAGCACUGGCGUGGCUUCUUACAGCUGCCCAUAACCUUAGUUCCAGGAGGAGCCAAAGCCCCUCCUCUGAUUUGACAUGACAUCUGUGUGCUCCUGCAUACACAUGGUAUACAUUCAUACACUUGGGUUGCAUGUACACACACACACACACACACACACACACACACACACUUACCC